This 81-nucleotide transfer RNA is filed under the name Bifidobacterium psychraerophilum. It matches the Rfam family "tRNA". Rfam says of the family: Transfer RNA (tRNA) molecules are approximately 80 nucleotides in length. Their secondary structure includes four short double-helical elements and three loops (D, anti-codon, and T loops). Lineage: Bacteria; Bacillati; Actinomycetota; Actinomycetes; Bifidobacteriales; Bifidobacteriaceae. The record is from Rfam by way of RNAcentral. RNAcentral also lists the same sequence under 1 other name.
GCCCCCGUGGCGAAAUGGUAGACGCUGCGGACUUAAAAUCCGCCGCCGCAAGGCAUGUGGGUUCGAUUCCCACCGGGGGCA